UACCAAGAGAUUGAGCUGUAUGUUUUGGUAAAAAGAUAGUUAUGUGACUUUGAUUAAUAAAGUUUCUUGAUUAUUUAUUAAAAGGUAAAAUUUAGAUAUAGAUAAAAUAAACCAGGAAUGACUUAAAUGUGCUGAAGCUAUGAUAGCCUUGAGGGAAACUGGGAUUGGAUACCCCAUUAUUCUUGGCUGUAAAUUGAUGUUAAUCUACCUGAGUACUAUGAAUAUAAUGGUUUAAAACUCAAAGGGCUUGGCGGUGUUUUAGAUCACUCAGGGGAACCUGUUUCGUAAUCGACAAUCCACGAUAAACCUAACCUUCUUUCGUUUUCAGCUUGUAUACCGUCGUCGUCAGGUAACUUUUAAAAAUAAAAAAGCUAGCUAAUAAACUUUUAAGUUUGGACGUCAGAUCAGGGUGCAGUCUAUGGGAAGGUGAGAAUGGGUUACAAUUAUUAAUUUAUAAUUACGGAAAGUUAAGUUAAAUAUUAGCUUUGAAGGAGGACUUGAAAGUAAUUUUAAGUAUAUAAAUAAUGUGAAUUAGACUCUGAAACGUGC
This 549-nucleotide ribosomal RNA is filed under the name Nannodiella ravella. Its description in RNAcentral is "partial 12S ribosomal RNA". Lineage: Eukaryota; Metazoa; Mollusca; Gastropoda; Neogastropoda; Conidae. The record is from RNAcentral.